GGUAGCUCAGCGGUAGAGCAUUCGACUGUUAAUCGAAUGGUCGCUGGUUCGAAUCCAGCC
This 60-nucleotide transfer RNA is filed under the name Afipia broomeae. It matches the Rfam family "tRNA", at positions 7 to 64 of the family's 71-position model. From Rfam's summary of the family: Transfer RNA (tRNA) molecules are approximately 80 nucleotides in length. Their secondary structure includes four short double-helical elements and three loops (D, anti-codon, and T loops). Lineage: Bacteria; Pseudomonadati; Pseudomonadota; Alphaproteobacteria; Hyphomicrobiales; Nitrobacteraceae. RNAcentral also lists the same sequence under 3 other names. The record is from RNAcentral.